UCUUCGUCUUCUAGAUCAAUAUGAAAGCCCACAACUCAUCAUCUUUGAUGCUUCCUUGGGCUAGUUGCUUUGGUGGCCCAUAAGGCUUCAUAGUCUUGAUGGCAUCGAUGAUCGACCUUACCUGAUCUAAACUUACAUGAACCAGAUCCUUGGGCUUCAUGGAAUUGGGCCUUAUUGUCACGUUUUGACUCUGUUUCCUUGGUAGAAGCUUCUU
RNAcentral lists this long non-coding RNA (214 nucleotides) under Carica papaya (papaya). Its description in RNAcentral is "long non-coding RNA (CPAP_LNC007907)". Lineage: Eukaryota; Viridiplantae; Streptophyta; Magnoliopsida; Brassicales; Caricaceae. The record is from RNAcentral.